UACGGAGGGUGCAAGCGUUGCUCGGAAUCACUGGGCGUAAAGCGACCGCAGGCGGCCUGAAAAGUCGGAUGUGAAAGCCCUGGGCUCAACUCAGGAACUGCAUUCGAAACUGGUAGGCUCGAGUACGGGAGAGGGGGGUGGAAUUCCUGGUGUAGGGGUGAAAUUCGUUGAUAUCAGGAGGAACACCGGCGGCGAAGGCGGCCCCCUGGCCCGCAACUGACGCUCAUGGUCGAAAGCGUGGGGAGCAAACAGG
RNAcentral lists this ribosomal RNA (253 nucleotides) under uncultured bacterium. RNAcentral describes it as "partial 16S ribosomal RNA". It matches the Rfam family "Bacterial small subunit ribosomal RNA", at positions 524 to 776 of the family's 1533-position model. The record is from RNAcentral.